RNAcentral lists this ribosomal RNA (521 nucleotides) under uncultured bacterium. RNAcentral describes it as "bacterial SSU rRNA". It matches the Rfam family "Bacterial small subunit ribosomal RNA", at positions 28 to 526 of the family's 1533-position model. The record is from RNAcentral.
GACGAACGCUGGCGGCGUGCCUAAUACAUGCAAGUCGAACGCGUCUACGUUAAUGAAAUCAAUGUGCUUGCACGGCGAUGGAUUUAACAUUAGACGAGUGGCGAACUGGUGAGUAACACGUGGGUAACCUGCCCUCAAGCAGGGGAUAACACUUGGAAACAGGUGCUAAUACCGUAUAACAACAAAAACCGCAUGGUUUUUGUUUGAAAGAUGGUUUCGGCUAUCACUUGAGGAUGGACCCGCGGCGUAUUAGCUAGUUGGUGAGGUAAUGGCUCACCAAGGCAAUGAUACGUAGCCGACCUGAGAGGGUAAUCGGCCACAUUGGGACUGAGACACGGCCCAAACUCCUACGGGAGGCAGCAGUAGGGAAUCUUCCACAAUGGACGAAAGUCUGAUGCAGCAACGCCGCGUGAACGAUGAAGGUUCUAUGAAUCGUAAAGUUCUGUUCUGAGGGAAGAAACAAAUGACGGUACCUCAGGAGCAAGCCCCGGCUAACUACGUGCCAGCCGCCGCAGUAAAAC